This is a small nucleolar RNA of Jaculus jaculus (lesser Egyptian jerboa), 132 nucleotides long. Its record names the gene SNORA70. It matches the Rfam family "Small nucleolar RNA SNORA70". From Rfam's summary of the family: snoRNA U70 seems to be exclusive to mammals and is a member of the H/ACA class of snoRNA which contain H (ANANNA) and ACA box motifs. H/ACA box snoRNAs are involved in the conversion of uridines to pseudouridines (5-ribosyluracil) a constituent of structural RNAs (transfer, ribosomal, small nuclear, and small nucleolar). The record is from Ensembl. NCBI's taxonomy places the organism in Eukaryota, Metazoa, Chordata, Mammalia, Rodentia, Dipodidae.
CAGCAGCCAGUUAAACCAACCUGGUUCCUUUCCUCAUUGUGGCCUGGUGUGCAGUGCCUGCAAACAGCCUCCUUGAUAGUGUACAUAAACUGUUGCCUGUACAGGUUGCCCUAAGGGACCCUGGAGACAGUU